GGGGCUUCACCGCCUACCAAAUCCUGACAAACUCCGAAUGCCAGUAGUAUGAUUUACAGCAGUGAGUGACUGGGUGCUAAUGUCCAGUCGCAAAAGAGGAACAACUCAGACCAGCAACUAAGGUCCCGAAGAAUAUGCUAAGUUGAUCUAACGAUGUUUUGUUGCAGAGACAGCUAGGAUGUUAGCUUGGAAGCAGCUAUUCAUUCAAAGAGUGCGUAACAGCUCACUAGUCGAGCGACAGAGCGUGGAUAAUAAACGGGCAUCAAGCAUAUCACCGAAGUUCUGGGCGCGAGAGCGCGGUAGGGGAGCAUUCCAUUCAGCGUCGAAGCAGUUUCGUGAGGAAUUGUGGAGCGUAUGGAAAAGCAAAUGUAGGCAUGAGUAACGAUAAUGCGGGAGAGUAACCCGCACACCGCAAGACCAAGGUUUCCUGAUCAACGCUAAUCGGAUCAGGGUUAGUCGGGUCCUAAGGGUAAGCCGAACGGCGAUCUCGAUGGAUAAUCGGUUAAUAUUCCGAUACUAACAUAUACCUCGAUGGAGAGACGAAGGAACGUAAGUGCCGCCACCUGACGGAAUAGGUGGUUAAAGGGCGUAGGUAUAGGGGCAGAUUAAGAGUUAGUCCUUGCUGAAACCUGACAGUACAGAGAGCCUACGGGCAAUUUGAUAGUGCACCCAAGUCGACUUCCGAGAAAAUCUUCUAAGUUAUAGUAUAUGUUACCCGUACCGUAAACCGACACAGGUGGUCGAGGAGAGUAUCCUAAGGUGCUCGAGUGAAUCACGGUUAAGGAACUAGGCAAAUUAACCCCGUAACUUCGGGAAAAGGGGUCCCUAUGAAAGUAGGGCGCAGCGAAGAGGUCCAGGCGACUGUUUAUCAAAAACACAGGGCUCUGCAAAUUCGAAAGAAGACGUAUAGGGCCUGACACCUGCCCGGUGCUGGAAGGUUAAGAGGGGAUGUCAUCGCAAGAGAAGCAUUGAAUCGAAGCCCCAGUAAACGGCGGCCGUAACUAUAACGGUCCUAAGGUAGCGAAAUUCCUUGUCGGGUAAGUUCCGACCUGCACGAAUGGUGUAACGAUCUGGACACUGUCUCAACCGUGAGCUCGGUGAAAUUGUAGUCCCGGUGAUGAUGCCGGGUACCCGCAACGGGACGAAAAGACCCCGUGAACCUUUACUAUAGCUUAACGCUGAAUUUGGGUACACAAUGUGUAGGAUAGGCCGGAGGCUUUGAAGCGGGCACGCCAGUGUUCGUGGAGCCGACGUUGAAAUACGGCCCUUUGUGUAUUUGAGUUCUAACCCUGCGAAGGGGACACCGUUUGGUGGGUAGUUUGACUGGGGUGGUCGCCUCCAAAAGCGUAACGGAGGCUUCCCAAGGUACCCUCAGCACGAAUGGUAACCGUGCGCGGAGUGCAAUAGCAUAAGGGUGCUUGACUGUGAGACAUACAAGUCGACCAGGUACGAAAGUAGGGUAUAGUGAUCCGGUGGUUCUGCGUGGACUGGCCAUCGCUCAAAGGAUAAAAGGUACUCCGGGGAUAACAGGCUGAUCGCCGCCAAGAGCUCAUAUCGACGCGGCGGUUUGGCACCUCGAUGUCGGCUCGUCACAUCCUGGGGCUGGAGAAGGUCCCAAGGGUUCGGCUGUUCGCCGAUUAAAGUGGCACGCGAGCUGGGUUCAGAACGUCGUGAGACAGUUCGGUCUCUAUCUGUUGCGGGCGUAGGAAGAUUGAGGGGUCCUGACUUUAGUACGAGAGGACCGAGUUGGACGAACCUCCGGUGUAUCGGUUAUGCUGCCAAGUGUACUGCCGAGUAGCCGCGUUCGGUCUGGAUAAGCGCUGAAAGCAUCUAAGCGCGAAGCCAUCCCCAAGAUAAGUCUUCCCUUGAGGGGCGUAGGAGACUACUACGUUGAUAGGCUGCAGGUGUAAAGACAGCAAUGUCAAAGCCGAGCAGUACUAAUUACCCGAUAGGCUUUCUU
RNAcentral lists this ribosomal RNA (1960 nucleotides) under human gut metagenome. RNAcentral describes it as "bacterial LSU rRNA". It matches the Rfam family "Bacterial large subunit ribosomal RNA", at positions 923 to 2925 of the family's 2925-position model. The record is from RNAcentral.